RNAcentral lists this long non-coding RNA (357 nucleotides) under Pan troglodytes (chimpanzee). Its description in RNAcentral is "long non-coding RNA NONPTRT012982". The record is from RNAcentral. Lineage: Eukaryota; Metazoa; Chordata; Mammalia; Primates; Hominidae.
AUCUAAGAAAAGAAAGGAAAAAGAUGAAUUCAAAAGAGUAAGCUUAGCUGGGCCCAUUUCAGUUACUACAAAAUGAUGUAUACACAUCAUUGAGAGUGAUCUUGCUACAUUCAGAAUCUCCAUAGUCCCUUUCAUGUUUAACACGUCUAGCUUCUCACAAUUUAGCUCGAUCACCUGGAAUGCUAUUCCAUCACACACUUUCAACACUGGUUCUGUUUGGUCAUACGAAUGUUAAUCAAAGCCCACCAAGUCAAACAGUUGUAGGCCAGACUACCCAAAGUAAAUAGUUAAUAAAAGAUAUAUUACAUAAAUGAGGAAAGAAACUAAGUUUCUAUACUUUAAAAUUAAACAUUUUUA